CACUAUGCUCAGCCCUAAAAUUCGAUAGGUCACUACGCCCCCUAUCCGCCCGGGUACUACGAGCAUCAGCUUGAAACCCAAAGGACUUGGCGGUGCUUCACAUCCGUCUAGAGGAGCCUGUCCUGUAACCGAUAACCCCCGUUAAACCUCACCCUCCCUUGUUAAUCCCGCCUAUAUACCGCCGUCGUCAGCCUACCCUGUGAAGGACUAGUAGUGAGCAAGAUUGGUAAAACCCAAAACGUCAGGUCGAGGUGUAGUAAAUGAGAGGGGAAGAGAUGGGCUACAUUUCCUGCAUCAGGAAAUACGAACAAUGAACUGAAAUAAGCAUUAGAAGGUGGAUUUAGCAGUAAGCAGAUAAACAGAGUGUUCUGCUGAAGUUAAUGGCAAUAAAGCACGUACAUAUCGCCCGUCACUCUCCCCGAGCCUAACGUAUUUGAAUAUACCUAAAAAACCACACCUGCAAAGGGGAGGCAAGUCGUAA
This 481-nucleotide ribosomal RNA is filed under the name Pomacentrus auriventris (goldbelly damsel). RNAcentral's name for it is "partial small subunit ribosomal RNA". It matches the Rfam family "Bacterial small subunit ribosomal RNA", at positions 788 to 1491 of the family's 1533-position model. Lineage: Eukaryota; Metazoa; Chordata; Actinopteri; Pomacentridae. The record is from RNAcentral. RNAcentral also lists the same sequence under 1 other name.